Molecule: non-coding RNA, 981 nt
Organism: Nylanderia fulva
Lineage: Eukaryota; Metazoa; Arthropoda; Insecta; Hymenoptera; Formicidae
Source: RefSeq, a predicted model, not a curated record
UACAUAUAUAUACAUACUUCAUUGAAGCUACGUUCGCCGCGCAUGCACGAAAAAAAUCCGGUGCGCGCGACAAAAAGUUAUGCAGUGGCAUUUGUUUUCGGCUUACAUCGAUUUUGCUUUAGGUAAGUAAGAAAUCUUCGAUGUAAUUUAUACGACAUAAAUGUGUAGAAUAGGUUAUUUUUUGAAUGUAUAAUCACCAAGAGUAUAUCUUUUCAGUUUCUUUCCUCACAUAUACAUAUAUUUGAGUUAUGAAUUAUCAUAAUUUAAUAAAUGCAAUCGUUGUAUUAAAGUCAAUUAACCUAUACAUAUUACAUUUGACAAAAUAAUUAUUUCAAUAUUUCAUAAUUAAUUUAUUUUAUCAUUAUAUGAUUAAUUAUUUCGUGUAUAGAUAAUGGACGACCAAAGAUAUAUGGUGUGCGAGUUUCCAAAUGAAGAAGAUAGCAUAUCUAUUGGAUAUUUAGAAUGGCUGGAAAAUAAAUUCACAAACAUUGAAUUAGAUGAUGUAAUUAAACGCGGGACGAUAGUGAAAGUUCGAUGGCCAAAAGACUGUGAUGUGGGCCCUGUAGCAACAACAAUGAAAAAAAAAUUGGCCAAUUGUCAAUGGGAGGUGGUUGCAACAAAAUUACGGGCAUAUGGAGGAUGGAUUAAAAUGUGUGAGAUCAGAGACAAUUUAGAAAAGUAUGGUAUCACUGAACUUGACAGAAGUAAUAGAAAAAGUUCACGAGUAAAAAUAACCAUACAGAAUGUGAUAGUAAUGAUGAAUCAGGAGUAAAAGAAACAAAAAAGGAUGCGAAACAAAAGAAAUGUAUUCUAAAUGUAAAAAAAGGAAAAGAACUUUUAAAACAAUACAAACACAAAAAGCAGAAAUAUUCGUCACAGAAUAAAUCGAUAGAUAUCAGCGACGACGAAUCUGGUGAAGAAAACGAAAAAUCUCUCAUUCAUAAACAAUCAAAGUCACAAUUAAAAGAUACAGUCAUUGUA